GACGAACCACCCAAACGUUAUUCGGAAUUACUGGGCUUAAAGGGUGCGUAGGCGGCGCGGCAAGUUGGAUGUGAAAUCCCUCGGCUCAACCGAGGAACUGCGUUCAAAACUACCGUGCUCGAGGAAGACAGAGGUAAGCGGAACUUCGGGUGGAGCGGUGAAAUGCGUUGAUAUCCGAAGGAACACCGGUGGCGAAAGCGGCUUACUGGGUCUUUUCUGACGCUGAUGCACGAAAGCUAGGGGAGCAAACGGG
This 253-nucleotide ribosomal RNA is filed under the name uncultured bacterium. RNAcentral's name for it is "partial 16S ribosomal RNA". It matches the Rfam family "Bacterial small subunit ribosomal RNA", at positions 524 to 776 of the family's 1533-position model. The record is from RNAcentral.